Tuber melanosporum (Perigord truffle) is the source of this 120-nucleotide ribosomal RNA. The record is from Rfam. NCBI's taxonomy places the organism in Eukaryota, Fungi, Ascomycota, Pezizomycetes, Pezizales, Tuberaceae.
GUGUUCGGCCAUUAAACGGUGAAAGCUACGCAUCCCGUCCGCUCCGCGGUAGAUAAGUAUCCUAUCGUCCGGUUAGUACUACAGUGGGGUGCCAUGUAGGAAUCCCGGAUACUGAACCCU